This 351-nucleotide unclassified non-coding RNA is filed under the name soil metagenome. RNAcentral's name for it is "partial contains 5.8S ribosomal RNA, internal transcribed spacer 2, and large subunit ribosomal RNA". The stretch from base 1 to 120 matches the Rfam family "5.8S ribosomal RNA", at positions 35 to 154 of the family's 154-position model. The record is from RNAcentral.
GAUGAAGAACGCAGCGAAAUGCGAUAAGUAAUGUGAAUUGCAGAAUUCAGUGAAUCAUCGAAUCUUUGAACGCACAUUGCGCCCCCUGGUAUUCCGGGGGGCAUGCCUGUCCGAGCGUCAUUACAACCCUCAGGGCCCGCCUGCUUGCAGGCGCGGCGCUGGUGUUGGGGAUCGGCUACCCUGCCGUCCCCCAAAUACAGUGGCGGUCUCGCUGCAGCCUCCCCUGCGUAGUAGCAACACUCGCAUGCGGAGCGCGGCGCGGCCACGCCGUAAAACCCCCGACUUUCUGAACGUUGACCUCGGAUCAGGUAGGAAUACCCGCUGAACUUAAGCAUAUCAAUAAGCGGAGGA